AUACGGGGCCCGCGCAGCGGAGCGCCGUGAACCAUGUCAGGCGGGGAACCGAGCAGCAUUAAGCGGAUGUCCCCGUGUGCCGCGGCAAACCCUGUAUAUC
Molecule: signal recognition particle RNA, 100 nt
Filed under: Paludihabitans sp.
Lineage: Bacteria; Bacillati; Bacillota; Clostridia; Eubacteriales; Oscillospiraceae
Also listed under: 1 other name
Description: signal recognition particle sRNA small type
Rfam family: Bacterial small signal recognition particle RNA
About the family: The signal recognition particle (SRP) is a universally conserved ribonucleoprotein involved in the co-translational targeting of proteins to membranes. Archaeal SRP consists of a 7S RNA and homologues of the eukaryotic SRP19 and SRP54 proteins.
Source: RNAcentral